Molecule: ribosomal RNA, 232 nt
Filed under: uncultured bacterium
Lineage: Bacteria
Description: partial 16S ribosomal RNA
Rfam family: Bacterial small subunit ribosomal RNA
Source: RNAcentral
CGGGGUGAGUAACGCGUGGGUAACCUGCCUCAUACAGGGGGAUAACAGUUGGAAACGGCUGCUAAUACCGCAUAAGCGCACAGUGCUGCAUGGCACAGUGUGAAAAACUCCGGUGGUAUGAGAUGGACCCGCGUCUGAUUAGCUAGUUGGUGGGGUAACGGCCUACCAAGGCGACGAUCAGUAGCCGGCCUGAGAGGGUGAACGGCCACAUUGGGACUGAGACACGGCCCAA